Molecule: long non-coding RNA, 1361 nt
Organism: Cotesia glomerata
Lineage: Eukaryota; Metazoa; Arthropoda; Insecta; Hymenoptera; Braconidae
Exons: 6
Source: RefSeq, a predicted model, not a curated record
GACCGCCACAGCAAUAAAGAAAUAGUUCUAUCUGGGAGUAAAAUCCCGAAGCUUCGCUGGGACGACAAUAUCGACAAGACAGAGAAACUUUUUUUCAAUCAUCGUGGUCAGUCUCUUCACGGAGGAGUUUUUUUGAUGAAUUUCCUUUCCUGACUGCCCUUCGUUGUGAAUGGAUGCGAUGGAUUUUAGUAAUAAAAUCCAAAAGUUAAAACCGUUUGCCGGAAAAAUAAUUCUAAAUCAAUGGAAUAACUUAUUUAAAAAUAAUAAAUUAAAAUUUUUGAGUGCUACAUUUUAUGGCUGAAUUAAAAAAUGCACAAUGCAUCGUGUUAUAAAAAGAAAGAGGUUCUGAAAUGUUGGAAUGGAGCAACAAUGAGGAACCAAUAAAACACGUGUAUCAGAAUUACUUAAAUGUAAUGUGAGCUGACUUGAAAAAACGUGGGCAAGGUUUCCAUUUUUAACUAUGUGAAAAAGAUUCUAAAGUGUUGGAAUGGAGCAACAAUGAAGAAGCAAAAAAUCACAUGAUUUACCUAUGUAAUGAUUUGAGUGAAAAUUUUAUCACCCAAUGAUUCAUCCCGAUCUGCAAAUCUGAGUGAAUUAAAUGUUACAAAAUAGCUGUAGAUGAAGAUAUCAACUUUUCUUCAAACCAAGAAAUGUCGCUACCAAAAAAAAAUGGUUCCCAUCUUUGUCACUCCUCGCAAUCAUCAAGAGAAACCCAAAAAAUUAUAAAAAUUUUAUUUUAAUUUGUAUACAUACCUGCCAGCUCAUUGAAAUAUUGUUAAUUAUUUAUUUUAAAAAAUUAAUAAAUAAAUAAAAACUGAAAUAGUUUGUAUGAGAAAAUUUUUUAUUAAAUAUCAUUUGAUAAUCAGAUAUAAAUUCGCCGAUCAAUAAAUUUAAUGUAAAAUUUAGCAGAGAAAUAUUUAAAUCGUUGAGCAUUCAAUAACUGAAAUUAAAUAAUAAAUACAUAGUUUAAUAAUUACGGAAAAAUUAUCUAUUGUCUACUAACCUUUAAAUAGUACAGUACAAAAGAAAAAAAAAUAAUAUGACUAAUUGUACAAUUCUACAAUGUUAAAGUUAACAAUUUUGUUAGCGGUAAACCCGGGCAGAAAAAAAAUACAAUUUAACAUGAUCACUGCUGGGUAACUGACGUUAUACUCUAUCAAUCUAUCACAUAAUAAAUUUACCAAUAAACUUAUUUUAUAUAACAAUAUUUUUAUUAAAUAGGCUUUUAUACGUCUUGUUAACUCGACAGUAAUCAAUAAUAAUAUUUUUUCUGUUAAGUAUUCUCUUUGUUCCUAUAAAGAAGCUAUUUUCAAAAUGGCAAAUUAACUAUGGCUACUACCAAAAAAUAUUAGUUUCUCUAU